AGUGAACGCUGGCGGUAGGCCUAACACAUGCAAGUCGAACGGCAGCACAGUAAGAGCUUGCUCUUACGGGUGGCGAGUGGCGGACGGGUGAGGAAUACAUCGGAAUCUACUUUUUCGUGGGGGAUAACGUAGGGACACUUACGCUAAUACCGCAUACGACCUACGGGUGAAAGCAGGGGAUCUUCGGACCUUGCGCGAUUGAAUGAGCCGGUGCCGGAUUAGCUAGUUGGCUGGGUAAAGGCCCACCAAGGCGACGAUCCGUAGCUGAUCUGAGAGGAUGAUCAGCCACACUGGAACUGAGACACGGUCCAGACUCCUACGGGAGGCAGCAGUGGGGAAUAUUGGGCAAUGGGCGCAAGCCUGAUCCAGCCAUACCGCGUGGGUGAAGAAGGCCUUCGGGUUGUAAAGCCCUUUUGUUGGGAAAGAAAAGCAGCAUGUUAAUACCCCGCUGUUCUGACGGUACCCAAAGAAUAAGCACCGGCUAACUUCGUG
RNAcentral lists this ribosomal RNA (492 nucleotides) under uncultured bacterium. RNAcentral describes it as "partial 16S ribosomal RNA". It matches the Rfam family "Bacterial small subunit ribosomal RNA", at positions 29 to 507 of the family's 1533-position model. The record is from RNAcentral.